Molecule: transfer RNA, 72 nt
Filed under: Camelus bactrianus (Bactrian camel)
Lineage: Eukaryota; Metazoa; Chordata; Mammalia; Artiodactyla; Camelidae
Also listed under: 1 other name
Rfam family: tRNA
About the family: Transfer RNA (tRNA) molecules are approximately 80 nucleotides in length. Their secondary structure includes four short double-helical elements and three loops (D, anti-codon, and T loops).
Source: Rfam by way of RNAcentral
GAGGGUAUAGCUCAGUGGCAGAGCGUGUGCUUAGCAUGCAUGAGGUCCUGGGUUCAAUCCCCAGUCCCUCCG